Molecule: ribosomal RNA, 413 nt
Filed under: uncultured soil bacterium
Lineage: Bacteria
Description: bacterial SSU rRNA
Rfam family: Bacterial small subunit ribosomal RNA
Source: RNAcentral
AGAUUGAACGCUGGCGGCAUGCCUAACACAUGCAAGUCGAACGGGAGUAGCAAUACUCUAGUGGCGGACGGGUGAGGAAUACGUAGGAAUUUGCCCUUAAGUGGGGGAUAACCCGGGGAAACCCGGAUUAAUACCGCAUGACCUCGAAAGAGCAAAGUGGGGGAUCGCAAGACCUCACGCUUUUGGAGAAGCCUACGUCGGAUUAGCUAGUUGGUGAGGUAAUGGCUCACCAAGGCGACGAUCCGUAACUGGUCUGAGAGGAUGAUCAGUCACACCGGAACUGAGACACGGUCCGGACUCCGUACGGGAGGCAGCAGGUGGGAAUAUUGGACAAGUGGGCGCAAGCCUGAUCCGAGCAAUGCCGCGUGUGUGAAGAGGUCCUUCGGUUAGUAAGCGUAACUUUAAGGUUAGGG